RNAcentral lists this ribosomal RNA (231 nucleotides) under Nanuca parguerensis. Its description in RNAcentral is "Dondice parguerensis partial 16S ribosomal RNA". Lineage: Eukaryota; Metazoa; Mollusca; Gastropoda; Nudibranchia; Facelinidae. The record is from RNAcentral.
AAAGACGAGAAGACCCUUAGAAUUUUUAUUAUAGAUUAACUAAUGUUUUUAUUGGGGCGAUAGAGAAACAAUUAGAACUUUCUUUAAAAUCUGCCGAUUGUGUUAUGAGAGAAUAAAUUACCUGAGGGAUAACAGCAUUAUUUUAUAAUUAAGUUUGUGACCUCGAUGUUGGACUAGGAAACUAAUAGGCUAGCCGUUUAUUAUGUUGGUUCUGUUCGAACUUAUAUUCCU